GUGAUAUCUGUACUAACGAAUUUUAAGAAAAUAAAAGGAUUCGAAAUUUUUGGCCGUUAAAAAGCCUCCAAAACCGAUCCAAUGGCGACUAAGGAUUUGUUGGUGAUACCAGUACUAACGAAUUUUGAGAAAAUAAAGGGAUUCGAAAUUUUGGGGCCGUUAAAAAGCCUCCAAAACCGACAUAAUGGCGGCC
Molecule: long non-coding RNA, 193 nt
Organism: Eufriesea mexicana
Lineage: Eukaryota; Metazoa; Arthropoda; Insecta; Hymenoptera; Apidae
Exons: 3
Source: RefSeq, a predicted model, not a curated record